RNAcentral lists this transfer RNA (67 nucleotides) under Macropinna microstoma (barreleye). RNAcentral describes it as "tRNA-Cys". Lineage: Eukaryota; Metazoa; Chordata; Actinopteri; Argentiniformes; Opisthoproctidae. The record is from RNAcentral.
AAGCCCUGUAGUGUAAACACAUUAGAUUGCAAACCUAAAGAUGCGCGCUUUUACCGUCCAGCGACUU